RNAcentral lists this ribosomal RNA (253 nucleotides) under uncultured bacterium. Its description in RNAcentral is "partial 16S ribosomal RNA". It matches the Rfam family "Bacterial small subunit ribosomal RNA", at positions 524 to 776 of the family's 1533-position model. The record is from RNAcentral.
UACGUAGGGUCCGAGCGUUGUCCGGAAUUACUGGGCGUAAAGAGCUCGUAGGUGGUUUGUCGCGUUGUUCGUGAAAACUCACAGCUCAACUGUGGGCGUGCGGGCGAUACGGGCAGACUGGAGUACUGCAGGGGAGACUGGAAUUCCUGGUGUAGCGGUGGAAUGCGCAGAUAUCAGGAGGAACACCGGUGGCGAAGGCGGGUCUCUGGACAUUUCCUGACGCUGAGGCACGAAAGCCAGGGGAGCAAACGGG